GAAGCGCCGUAGUCUGAAAAUUGACCGCUAGAUGGCGCAGGCGACGAUUCUGGACAUUUGCCACCAACGAUGCCGUCGUCGUUGGUCUCGUCGGAUGCCUCCUCUUUGAGCUCUUCUAAGGAGGAGAGGUGGUUUCCCCAGGGUCAUUGUUGGAUAAUAGCAAAACCAAUCUCUGCAUUGUAGAAAAUCGGGAAAUUAAGAAACGUCAACUUUCCUUGUAUGCCAGUAAAGGCUUAUAUUGCGUCCCGCCCGUCUAUCUGAGGAAUCUUAUCCUGGCCGUGGGCAACAAGCUGCAAUGGAGUGAAUCAGUUUUGCCAGUGUUCCUUCCUUAUCUUUCAAGUAUGCCUUUCACUAGUUCUUGAUUAUGUUUAAAUUAUUAGUCGUCUUCGUUAAAUGUUCUUCUUCCAAUUGAAAACAUUUGGCGAAAAUAAACAAGUCAUACUGGUUA
Long non-coding RNA from Daphnia magna, 448 nucleotides. RefSeq lists it as uncharacterized. NCBI's taxonomy places the organism in Eukaryota, Metazoa, Arthropoda, Branchiopoda, Diplostraca, Daphniidae. The record is from RefSeq and is a predicted model, not a curated record. The transcript is spliced from 2 exons.